This 112-nucleotide ribosomal RNA is filed under the name Castor canadensis (American beaver). The record is from RNAcentral. Lineage: Eukaryota; Metazoa; Chordata; Mammalia; Rodentia; Castoridae.
GUCUAUAGCCAUACCAGCUUGAACAUGAAUGAUCUCAUCUGAUCUCAGAAGCUGAGCAGAAUUGGGCCUGGUUAGUACUUGGAUGGGAAGAAGCACCUGCAUUCAAUUGUAU